This 497-nucleotide ribosomal RNA is filed under the name uncultured bacterium. RNAcentral's name for it is "partial 16S ribosomal RNA". It matches the Rfam family "Bacterial small subunit ribosomal RNA", at positions 28 to 507 of the family's 1533-position model. The record is from RNAcentral.
GAUGAACGCUGGCGGCGUGCCUAAUACAUGCAAGUCGAGCGAACGGACGAGAAGCUUGCUUCUCUGAUGUUAGCGGCGGACGGGUGAGUAACACGUGGAUAACCUACCUAUAAGACUGGGAUAACUUCGGGAAACCGGAGCUAAUACCGGAUGAUAUUUUGAACCGCAUGGUUCAAAAGUGAAAGACGGUCUUGCUGUCACUUAUAGAUGGAUCCGCGCUGCAUUAGCUAGUUGGUAAGGUAACGGCUUACCAAGGCAACGAUGCAUAGCCGACCUGAGAGAGUGAUCGGCCACACUGGAACUGAGACACGGUCCAGACUCCUACGGGAGGCAGCAGUAGGGAACCUUCCGCAAUGGGCGAAAGCCUGACGGAGCAACGCCGCGUGAGUGAUGAAGGUCUUCGGAUCGUAAAACUCUGUUAUUAGGGAAGAACAUAUGUGUAAGUAACUGUGCACAUCUUGACGGUACCUAAUCAGAAAGCCACGGCUAACUACGUG